RNAcentral lists this ribosomal RNA (459 nucleotides) under uncultured bacterium. Its description in RNAcentral is "partial 16S ribosomal RNA". It matches the Rfam family "Bacterial small subunit ribosomal RNA", at positions 338 to 795 of the family's 1533-position model. The record is from RNAcentral.
CCUACGGGUGGCAGCAGUGAGGAAUAUUGGUCAAUGGGCGCGAGCCUGAACCAGCCAAGUCGCGUGAGGGAAGACGGUCCUAUGGAUUGUAAACCUCUUUUGUCGGGGAGCAAAAGACGCCACGCGUGGCGUUCCGAGAGUACCCGAAGAAAAAGCAUCGGCUAACUCCGUGCCAGCAGCCGCGGUAAUACGGAGGAUGCGAGCGUUAUCCGGAUUUAUUGGGGUUAAAGGGUGCGCAGGCGGAAGAUCAAGUCAGCGGGAAAAUUGAGAGGCUCAACCUCGUCGAGCCGUUGAAACUGGUUUUCUUGAGUGGGCGAGAGGUAGGCGGAAUGCGUGGUGUAGCGGUGAAAUGCAUAGAUAUCACGCAGAACUCCGAUUGCGAAGGCAGCAUACCGGCGCUCAACUGACGCUCAUGCACGAAAGUGUGGGUAUCGAACAGGAUUAGAUACCCGUGUAGUC